UACGUAGGGGGCAAGCGUUGUCCGGAAUUAUUGGGCGUAAAGCGCGCGCAGGCGGUCAUUUAAGUCUGGUGUUUAAGGCCAAGGCUCAACCUUGGUUCGCACUGGAAACUGGGUGACUUGAGUGCAGAAGAGGAGAGUGGAAUUCCACGUGUAGCGGUGAAAUGCGUAGAUAUGUGGAGGAACACCAGUGGCGAAGGCGACUCUCUGGGCUGUAACUGACGCUGAGGCGCGAAAGCGUGGGGAGCAAACAGG
Molecule: ribosomal RNA, 252 nt
Filed under: uncultured bacterium
Lineage: Bacteria
Description: partial 16S ribosomal RNA
Rfam family: Bacterial small subunit ribosomal RNA
Source: RNAcentral